Molecule: long non-coding RNA, 229 nt
Filed under: Olea europaea (common olive)
Lineage: Eukaryota; Viridiplantae; Streptophyta; Magnoliopsida; Lamiales; Oleaceae
Description: long non-coding RNA (OEUR_LNC006863)
Source: RNAcentral
UUAUUGAUGUGGGUCUGCGAGUCCAAUUUCAUUUAGGCCUGCGUGCCAACUAGUAUAGAAUACAUGUUGCAACUGGACUAAUUGAAAAAACAAGAAGAGGAGGAGACCAUGAAGAUGGUGCAUUGAUACUAUUCAAUGCUAUACCCCUAGGAAUUGACCAACUAGUCUCCCUUAUGGAUUGGGAAGACUAGAUAGUAAAAAUCUAUAAUCGUCCACACUAUUAUAUUAU